GGACAGGGACACGAUGGGAUGUGGCAGGAGGAGAGAUGGGGCGACACAAGUGAAGAGCACGGAGACAGAGAUGGAAAGAUCAAAGGCAGAGCACAAGGGGUCUGUGCCACAGAGGAGACAGAAGCAGAGGAGCAGAGAGAGUGGAUUCAGACAGAAAGAGACGGAGGAGUCAGACGGACAGGUUCCGAGGGGACAGUAGGAGAAUGCAGAGAUCCACAGUAGAGGGCCACAGUGGCUGGGUCCGAGUCCCAGCGUCAGUACAGAGCAUUCGAUGACAGAGAUGAAGAAGCAGAGGCAGAGCGGAGGGCAACGGAGGGCUCUGUGACGAAGGUGCUGGAGACAGAAGCAAAAGGCACUGCAACAUGCGACGGGAAUUCAGCUCGGUGGUUCCGCCACCUGCCUCAAAAGCACAAGGUCCCGAAUUUGAUCCCUGGUACCCCUGCAAAAAGCACCAAGUCAUCCAGCUGGCAGAACAAGAUAAAUAAAUUCCGCCUUCCCUAUUCCAUGGAGCUGAAACUGGGUGUACAGUCAACGUGGAAAUGGGAGACGGGAAACGCCACUGAUAGACCCUUCUUCGAGUCCAGACUGACGCCGUGCGGGGCAGCGUGAGAGAACAGAAGGGUCGGCUAGUGAUGCCUAACG
RNAcentral lists this long non-coding RNA (642 nucleotides) under Heterocephalus glaber (naked mole-rat). Its description in RNAcentral is "lncRNA (ENSHGLG00000033305.1)". Lineage: Eukaryota; Metazoa; Chordata; Mammalia; Rodentia; Bathyergidae. The record is from RNAcentral.